AUAUUCUUAAAAUUUCAACCAAAUUUAUUUCGUUGGUCUAACGUUUGAUUAGCGAUCCAAGCAAACAAAUCAAAAUCGGAAUAUAUGUAUUCACUUGCUUUAAUACAGACUAACUAUAUGCUAAAGUUUACAUAAUGAUCAUGUAUUCUGUUGAAGGCUAACUAAAACAGACUACAUGCCGUUUAUUAUAUCCUUUAUUAUAUCAAAUAAAAACCUCACGCAGUUUUGAAUUGAUCUAUAUAAUCUAAGUUUUGAAGUUUGAAACAAUGGUUUUUGUAGGUUGAACAAGUGACUCCAGUAGCAGCUGAGAACAUCGAGGUGCCACCACCAAAGGCUGUGGAGUCGGAGGAAGUCACCACCGUCUCCGAGUCUCUUCCAGCUCCGGUAACAGAAUCUCAAGCGCCUGUCGAAGUAACAACUAAAGAUUUGGUCGUGGAAGAGACAGAGAAACCAAUCGAAGAAACAGAGGAAGCUCAAGUUGAAACUCCGGAGGUUGUGGAGAUCAAGAAAGAUGAAGAAGCUCCGGUUGAAACUCCGGUGGUUGUGGAGGAUGAGAGCAAAACAGAGGAAGUUGUAGAGGCGAAGAAAGAGGAAGAAGUAGAAGAAAAG
Molecule: long non-coding RNA, 609 nt
Filed under: Arabidopsis thaliana (thale cress)
Lineage: Eukaryota; Viridiplantae; Streptophyta; Magnoliopsida; Brassicales; Brassicaceae
Description: long non-coding RNA (ATHA_LNC000605)
Source: RNAcentral